UAUUGUAAGUAAUAAUAGUAAGUAUAUACAAUGUACGUCAGAGCAGCAAUCAUCUUGUCAUUUGCAAUAAAGAGGGAAGUGCGAUUGCAACCAAGUAACUAAUAUAAUAUAUUUCUCCACUGUACAGCAUGCUGGAGAUCUGAGAAUGUGAUCCAAGAUUGCAGAGUGCAGUUGAACUGCUGCCCAUGAUGAUGACAAGACUGCAAACUAAAGGGAGGGAAGAUUACAUUCAGGAGGCAGCACUGGAGGAGAACAUAAAGAAGGGGUAGAGAUAACACCAGAGGAGCUCAGUAUUAUCAAAGCCUGCUGGAGGAGCACAAAGCCACUACCGAGGAAGACAGGGGCGAGAACCAAGGUCAGAUCCGUCCAACAUCGCGCACCUCCAUACAUCACGAGGAGCUUUCGCUUAGGGUGGCAAAAGUCCUUGCACCAAGCCCGCAUAUUGCUUUAGUGUGUUAAAGAAGAUGGAAUGUGGCAUUUGUUAAACUAUAUCAUUAUCUAACCUGUUGUUUUUUGCUUUUUCGGUGACCUCAUCCCCAGAAAGAAUAGAUUAAAAAGUAAUUAAAAAGUUGUUGGUAACUCAAAAUUCAGUAAUUAAAAUUACAGCUUAACCCACAAAAAAGCUUAUUUUUCCCCCAUAAUGUAUCAUAUGGUAAAAUAAAGGGUGUAAUUAAAAAGUAAAACUUGUCCUACAAAUAAUAAGCCCUCAUACCGCUGGGUCAAUGGAAAAAUAAAAAAGCUAUGGCUCUUCGAAUGUGAGGGGGUAAAAAGAAACCAAAUAAAGACUGGCUGC
Molecule: long non-coding RNA, 793 nt
Organism: Hyla sarda
Lineage: Eukaryota; Metazoa; Chordata; Amphibia; Anura; Hylidae
Exons: 3
Source: RefSeq, a predicted model, not a curated record